This 67-nucleotide transfer RNA is filed under the name Thorius n. sp. RLM-2004. Its description in RNAcentral is "tRNA-Ser". Lineage: Eukaryota; Metazoa; Chordata; Amphibia; Caudata; Plethodontidae. The record is from RNAcentral.
AGUAUAAGUUAGGAAACACAGAGAUUGCUAAUUGCCUGGCCCCGCAGUUCAACUCCGCGGUCUACUC